GCAUUAUACCGUGAAACUGCGAAUGGCUCAUUAAAUCAGUUAUCGUUUAUUUGAUAGUACCUUACUACUUGGAUAACCGUGGUAAUUCUAGAGCUAAUACAUGCUGAAAACCCCAACUUCGGGAGGGGUGUAUUUAUUAGAUAAAAAACCAACGCCCUUCGGGGCUUCUUGGUGAUUCAUGAUAACUUCACGGAUCGCAUGGCCUUGCGCCGGCGACGGUUCAUUCAAAUUUCUGCCCUAUCAACUUUCGAUGGUAAGGUAUUGGCUUACCAUGGUUUCAACGGGUAACGGGGAAUUAGGGUUCGAUUCCGGAGAGGGAGCCUGAGAAACGGCUACCACAUCCAAGGAAGGCAGCAGGCGCGCAAAUUACCCAAUCCCGAUACGGGGAGGUAGUGACAAUAAAUACUGAUACAGGGCUCUUUUGGGUCUUGUAAUUGGAAUGAGUACAAUUUAAACCUCUUAACGAGGAACAAUUGGAGGGCAAGUCUGGUGCCAGCAGCCGCGGUAAUUCCAGCUCCAAUAGCGUAUAUUAAAGUUGUUGCAGUUAAAAAGCUCGUAGUUGAAACUUGGGCCUGGCUGGCAGGUCCGCCUCACCGCGUGUACUUGUCCGGCCGGGCCUUUCCUUCUGGAGAACCUCAUGCCCUUCACUGGGUGUGUUGGGGAACCAGGACUUUUACUUUGAAAAAAUUAGAGUGUUCAAAGCAGGCCUUUGCUCGAAUACGUUAGCAUGGAAUAAUAGAAUAGGACGUGCGGUCCUAUUUUGUUGGUUUCUAGGACCGCCGUAAUGAUUAAUAGGGACAGUCGGGGGCAUCAGUAUUCAAUUGUCAGAGGUGAAAUUCUUGGAUUUAUUGAAGACUACUACUGCGAU
This 868-nucleotide ribosomal RNA is filed under the name Phoma sp. AP3s5-J1a. RNAcentral describes it as "SSU rRNA". It matches the Rfam family "Eukaryotic small subunit ribosomal RNA", at positions 71 to 949 of the family's 1831-position model. The record is from RNAcentral. Lineage: Eukaryota; Fungi; Ascomycota; Dothideomycetes; Pleosporales; Didymellaceae.